CUUUCAUUGUUGGAUGAUCACAUGUGCUAUGAGCUAUCAUAGUCCAUUUGGGUUGCUUGACAGAAUCCCAUAGGCUUGGGUGACUUACAAAAAACAGGUUGUCGGCCCCUCCUGUAAGAUCUCACAUGUUCUGAGCCCUCAGGAAGGUGGAGUCCUCAUGGGUCCUGGGGAGUUGAUUGGAUGCUUGUCUCUGUCACAGAUGAAUAACAGUCCAUUGGCUGGCUGUACCACAUCCCUCCACAGAUGGGCCUUCGUGUUGCUUCCACUUUGGGGUCAUGGUACACAGCACUGCUGUGGUCAUUGGAAGGCUGUGAAUUUGAAUCUGACCUGGCCACUUGGUCACUUGCUCCACACUUUACCUUCUUUCAGAGAUGUUUUUGCAGAGAAUGUCAGCGUCUGGUUAAGUCUCUUUUAGAAUAAUGUCUGGCAUUCUGGACCCUAGUUUUUAACAGAUAGCCUGCACUGUACCUGGAAUACAGGAGGCAUCAUAGAAUAUGUGCUAAGAGUUGCAUCGUGAUGCGGUAAAUACAUUAGUUAUCAUCCCAACCAGACUUGCUGAGAGCACAGAGGGGGCUAUCAAUAGUUCCGCUGGGAGCAUGGGCCUGCCUGGAGGCUGUCCCAGGCAAGCUGAGACCUACAGUCACCCUGUGUAAUGACGAGAAGCCCAGAGAGGGGGAACGUGAAAUGCUGGUGUGGGGCCACCUGUGGUGGUGCUGGCUGGCAGGACUCAGAUAGGGAUGGCGGUCAACUGGCUACUGUGCAGCCAUUCAAAUAGAAGAUGACCAUGACUCUGUGUAAAAUUAAAGUGAUAGCAUCUUGAGGAAAGCAAACCUUGAGGAAACCUUUUAAUGAUCUUUUCGUACUCAUGGGAAUGGAAAUGCAGUUUUACCAUAUUGUUUACUCACAGUCUGCUGUCACCCAAUGGAUGCUUACUUCACCCUGUAGACCUACCACCUCUUGGCCAAAUCCAUCAUCUCCAGCUUCACUGUCCACGUUGAAGACAGUCGUCCUUGAUCAUUUACAUACUGUCUACGGCUGUGUCAGGGUACAGCAACAGAGCUGAGCUGUGGCGACAGGGACCUGUAUGCUCCACAAACGAAAAGUAGUGUCUGACCCUUUGCAGGUGAAGGUUACUGAUGGUGCAAACCUAUAAAUGCAAGAAGCACUCUCUUCAUAUAAUACCAGGUAUAGCUGUUAGGGAACUGUUGAUCGAAGCCACCACAUUGGCCAGGCCUGCUUACCUGAAUUGUCUCACAACAAGAGGUCCCAAUAAGGAACACGAUGCUGCCACUGAAGACUAACUGGGAGAAUUUGGGAGAGGACAAGAGACGGAGGAGAUGAACAUCCUCCCAGAUUUCAGCCCUCACACUGAAAUCCACCUUGGCUGAAAGAUGCACCUGCCGUCAGGAAGGACCUUGAGUCAGACUGUGGGUAACCCCGUCACCAUAAAACCAGAGGCUGUGAGCUACACAGAAGAGCACUUCUCCUGGGUCCCUUUACCCUGCUGCUCUCUGCGUGGGUGCUCCUUCCCAGUAAAAUCUCUUGCUUUGUCAGCGCAUGUGUCUCAUUGAACAAUUUGGUUUCGAGUGUUAGGCAAGACACCACUCUCAGGCCCUGCAAGGGAUCCCCUUUCCUGACAUAGUGGCAGAUGCAAGGCAACAGCGCACUG
Non-coding RNA from Odocoileus virginianus texanus, 1669 nucleotides. NCBI's taxonomy places the organism in Eukaryota, Metazoa, Chordata, Mammalia, Artiodactyla, Cervidae. The record is from RefSeq and is a predicted model, not a curated record.